UGUGAGGGUGUUUCCNCUAGCUAGGAAAG
This 29-nucleotide non-coding RNA is filed under the name Rattus norvegicus (Norway rat). Lineage: Eukaryota; Metazoa; Chordata; Mammalia; Rodentia; Muridae. The record is from RNAcentral.